UACGUAGGUGGCAAGCGUUAUCCGGAUUUAUUGGGCGUAAAGGGAACGCAGGCGGUCUUUUAAGUCUGAUGUGAAAGCCUUCGGCUUAACCGGAGUAGUGCAUUGGAAACUGGGAGACUUGAGUGCAGAAGAGGAGAGUGGAACUCCAUGUGUAGCGGUGAAAUGCGUAGAUAUAUGGAAGAACACCAGUGGCGAAAGCGGCUCUCUGGUCUGUAACUGACGCUGAGGUUCGUAAGCGUGGGUAGCAAACAGG
RNAcentral lists this ribosomal RNA (253 nucleotides) under uncultured bacterium. Its description in RNAcentral is "partial 16S ribosomal RNA". It matches the Rfam family "Bacterial small subunit ribosomal RNA", at positions 524 to 776 of the family's 1533-position model. The record is from RNAcentral.